Molecule: transfer RNA, 43 nt
Filed under: Acanthodactylus ilgazi
Lineage: Eukaryota; Metazoa; Chordata; Lepidosauria; Squamata; Lacertidae
Description: partial tRNA-Glu
Source: RNAcentral
UAGUUUUAGUAGUUGAAUAACAACGAUGGUCUUUUCAAGUCAA